GAAAAAGAAAAAGAAAAGAAAAAUGAAAAUGACAUCACUCACAUGACCUCACACGUCAUAAUUAGAUUUUACUUAAAUAAAAUUUGACCAAGUCAAUUUAAGACAUAAAAACCAAAAAUUGGAAAAAAAAAUAAAUUUGUUAUCUUCUUCUCACAACCCUUGCUGUCUCCACUCUCCUCCCUCUCUCUUUAAAACCUCCAUUAAAAUACUCUAUUAAAGCUUGGUCUCAAGCUUUUAAUCCAUACAUUUAACACUAAUUUCCUCAAAAAUUCCCCAUAAACCUUGCUAAUUCCACUAUAAAAGAAGAUUGAAGAAACAAAGUAAGGAAGAAAAGUGAAGAUUUGGAGAAUUAGAAAUUAAAGUUGAGGUUAGUAAGUAAACUUGAAUUUUGUUGUUUAAUUUCUAUGUUUUUAGUUAAGUUAACUUAUAAUUUAACUUAAAUUCAAACAAAAACCAUUAUCGGGGACUAAAUAAAAAAUUCGGCCAGCAAUAGGGAGAAAUGGAAUUGCAUGAAUUUGAUGGAAUUAAAGUGUUAAUUUAGUUGAAUUAAGCAUGUAAACAUGAUCUAUGCACUUUAAUUUCAUUAGAUUACACAAUUGAGGAAUUAGGGUUCUUGAACUUUGAAAUUUGGGGGAAAAAUUGGAGGAAAUGGUCAAUUGAUGCAAAUGACCUUAAUUGAGGUUUGAAAUA
RNAcentral lists this unclassified non-coding RNA (690 nucleotides) under Hevea brasiliensis (rubber tree). The record is from RNAcentral. Lineage: Eukaryota; Viridiplantae; Streptophyta; Magnoliopsida; Malpighiales; Euphorbiaceae.